This 403-nucleotide ribosomal RNA is filed under the name uncultured bacterium. RNAcentral describes it as "partial 16S ribosomal RNA". It matches the Rfam family "Bacterial small subunit ribosomal RNA", at positions 30 to 526 of the family's 1533-position model. The record is from RNAcentral.
AUUGAACGCUGGCGGCAGGCCUAACACAUGCAAGUCGAGCGAGCGGCGGACGGGUGAGUAAUGUAUGGGGACUGCCCGCUAGAGGGGGAUAACUACUGGAAACGGUGGCUAAUACCGCAUACGGUCGGAUAACCCAUCUGGGCUUAGCUAGUAGGUAAGGUAAGGGCUUACCUAGGCGACGAUCCCUAGCUGGUCUGAGAGGCUGAUCCGCCACACUGGGACUGUGACACGGCCCAGACUCCUACGGAGGCAGCAGUGGGGAAUAUUGCACAAUGGGCGCAAGCCUGAUGCAGCCAUGCCGCGUGUAUGAAGAAGGCCCUAGGGUUGUAAAGUACGUUCAGUCGGGAGGCGUUACCGACAGAAGAAGCACCGGCUAACUCCGUGCCAGCAGCCGCGGUAAUAC